This 4238-nucleotide long non-coding RNA is filed under the name Olea europaea subsp. europaea. Lineage: Eukaryota; Viridiplantae; Streptophyta; Magnoliopsida; Lamiales; Oleaceae. The record is from RNAcentral.
AAAGAUUAACAUAUGGAGAAAGAAACCCAAAAUAAUCCAAACCCUAAGCCUCUCUCUCCUCACGCCUCCCUCCGUUCAGACGACCAUUUCAUCUCCUCCCAAACCAAUUUUCAUCCCCGAAUUCUGGUAAGUUAGGGAUCCACGCCAAGUGAACAACGUUCAAGAUGGGAUCCGAGAAAGUGAACAACAUUCAAUGACACGACCCGUCCCGACUCAACCUAAUUGACUCGACACGUGUCGUGCGCCGGUAGUAGAUGCCAGCUAAAUGCCGGACCCACCACCAAGGCAAACUUGACCUAUUUUGACUGUGCUAAUAUCUAUGAAAAUUUUGACAGAGUUUCCCCUGUAAUAUGGACAAAACCAACCUGAAAAAUCAUCAAAAUCUCAAAUAGACAUUUAAACCAAAAGUUUUGCAAACCACCACUUCCUCUAAUGCUACCACAACUACUACAAAAUAUAACAAAAUUCGACUGAGUGUUUUUACAACAUCAUCCUAUUAACAUGCAAGUAUUAUAUCACUUGCAAACCCUUCUACAAAUAUGCUUGACACCCAAAAUUAGACAAUUACUUAAUAAACAUAAGUUUCCCAACUAUUCAUUACAUACUUAGGAAAUGGUCUCUUUUGCUUCAGCAGGCUUUCCAAAUAUCUCAGAAUCGACCUUCUCCUGAUAGGAAAACAUGGUAAAAAGAUAUGAGUUUAUAACUCAGUGAGUGGAUAGUUGAAAAUAAAUAAACUUUUCCAUUUAUACUAUUUUCUGAAAAUUCUUGCACUAUUUAUCGCUAAGAACUUCUGAAAAAUAGUAACACUUUUAAAAACUAAACAUGAUCAUAUCAUAAUUUCUUGGACAUAAUUCUAGAAAUGCAACUGUAUAACAUAAUGACUAUAAAUACUCUGAUAUCCAUGAAAAAUUAUGAAAUAUUGCUGCCUUAAUACUAUAAGCUAAAAGCUUAAUUCUGAAAACUGAAUUAACUGAAUUCCAUAAUCUGAAAUCUGAUAAUAGAAUAAAUACUGAAAAAUCACACCAAAAAGAGUACCCAAUGAAUAGCCUUACUCAUGUACAGAGUAAUCUCGAUGUGCAAGGCAAAGCCAUUCAAAUCUGAUAAUCUGGUCAUACGUACGCAGAGCUGCCCCAAAGGCUAAUCACCCUAGUACACGGCCCAAAGCCUAUGUGUGUACGAGAGUGGGUCCCAAAGACCUCUGAUAAUCUGGUCAUACACUAUGGAAACACAUUCACAAUAGUGCAGAGCGGGUAAAAUCACUGUAAGUAGUCAUACACUGUGGAAACACAUUCACAUCAGUGCAAAUUGGGGUAAAAUCACCUGGGUACUUUCUGAUGGUUUUUAGAAAACAAUUCUAAAUAUGCUGAACUAUUUAAUACAAAUGUAACAUGCUGAGAAAAUAAUUUAAUUGAACUGAAAUUAACUUUAAAAAUAACUGAUUAUAAAUUCACAUUAUUUUAAAGAUCAUGCUGUCAAAUUAACUGUAUGAAAUAAUAAAUUUUCAAUAUAAUAUAAAUUUAAUAAAUACUAAUUUUUAAAAAAAUGAGUUUGUAUCCACUCACAAGGUAUGAGCUACAAGCUAGAUAGGCUGAUAGACGUUUCCAAUCGCCUCGUUACCUCCUGAAAUACGAUAAUGAUAACCAAUUUAUCCACUAUCGAAUCGAGAAACCUUAAAAGCUAAUAAUAGAACAUAAUUUAAAUGCUCUUGGUACUUAAAUAAGUUCUCAAAUUUUCCUUUAUUAAUUGGAGCUAAUUACACCUUAUAAUUCCUUGGUUAUUCACUAAUUUAUCAACAUAACCAUCAUUUCAAAUUUAAAACUAAUUUUUAUCUCCAAUCUAAUGAAACUAGUAACCACAAUUCCACCCACAUAAUAUACCUUUGUUCCAUAAAAUCAAUUCCCAAAUGAAAUAUUUCAUUUACUUAAUCACUUCACAAUUAAUUAAUUAAAAUCCCCCAAAUUCGGAUUCUAGGGUUUUUUUUUUUUUUCCAAAAUUUUGACAUCUCCAUACCUUGCUGAAAAUUUGAAAUGAAUAUAUCCCCACACUUGAGCUCCAAUUCGUACAAAUAUCCCUAAAAUUCGACAUAUUAUUCAACAAGUUAAAACCCUAAAAAUUUUAACAUAAUUCAUACUUUAUCACCUAAAACAAAUGAAAAAUUUCAACCCAACUUGAAGAUAUCAACCUUACCUCCUUUCCUCUUCUUUUUCUUUUUUUUUUCUUUUCCUUUUUCUUUUCCUUUUUCCUUUCUUCUUUCCUCUUUUUCUCUUCUUCUCUCGGUCACUGCCUCCCGUAAUUUACUCUGUGUGUGUGUGUGUAAUGAGAGAAAAUGGGUCAAAGGUUUGUAUUAAUUGGUCCAAAACCCAUAAUUGCAAACUAAGUCCCUUAACUUCACUUUUUAGUAACAUUUAAUCCUUAAACUUCCAAAAGUAUAUAUAUAAAUUCCAAACUUUUAAAUAUAUCCAAUUUAACCUUUAUAUUUCGCCAAUUGCAAAAAUAACCCAAAUAAAAUAUUUAAUUUCAUUUUAGUCCUUGAUUGACUUUGACUUUGACUAGUCAAUAUUUGAAUUUUUGACUAUAAAAUUUGGAUUGUNUUUCCUUUAUUAGUUGGAGCUAAUUACACUUUAUAAUUCCUUGGUUAAUCACUAAUUGAUCAACAUAACCAUCAUUUCAAAUUUAAAACUAAUUUAAAUCUCCAAUCUAAUUAAACUAGUAACCACAAUUCCACCCACAUAAUAUACCUUUGUUCCAUAAAAUCAAUUCCCAAAUGACAUACUUCAUUUACCUAAUCACUUCACAAUUAAUUAAUUAAAAUCCCCAAAAUCGGAUUCUAGGGUUUUCCCAAAAAUUUGACAUCUCCAUACCUUGCUGAAAAUUUGAAAUGAAUAAAUCCCCACACUUGAGCUCCAAUUCGUGCAAAUAUCCCUAAAAUUCGACAUAUUAUUCAACAAGUUAAAACCCUAAAAAUUUUAACAUAAUUCAUACUUUAUCACCUAAAACAAAUGGAAAAUUUCAACCCAACUUGAAGAUAUCAACCUUACCUCCUUUCCUCUUCUUUUUCCUUUUUUCUUUUCCUUUUUCUUUUCCUUUUUCCUUUCUUCUUUCCUCUUUUUCUCUUCUUCUCUCGGUCACUGCCUCCCGUAAUUUACUCUGUGUGUGUGUGUGUAAUGAGAGAAAAUGGGUCAAAGGUUUGUAUUAAUUGGUCCAAAACCCAUAAUUGCAAACUAAGUCCCUUAACUUCACUUUUUAGUAACAUUUAAUCCUUAAACUUCCAAAAGUAUAUAUAUAAAUUCCAAACUUUUAAAUAUAUCCAAUUUAACCUUUAUAUUUCGCCAAUUGCAAAAAUAACCCAAAUAAAAUAUUUAAUUUCAUUUUAGUCCUUGAUUGACUUUGACUUUGACUAGUCAAUAUUUAAAUUUUUGACUAUAAAAUUUGGAUUGUCACAUUCAAGCUCCGAAUCCAUCGACGAAACCGAGGAAGUUGAAUUCUCACCCUUCCAAAACCCAUCUUCAGAAAUACUUGGCAAAACCAUUUCCAAUGAAGAUGAAUUAUGAUAAAACUUAAUUUCUUCUACUUUUUCGCCUUUUUUGGCUUCCUUUUUAGCUUUUUCUCUCCUUACCUUUUGGCAAAUUGCUUGAAUUUUGGCAUCUACAGCAUUCGUCAGAGCAGUCAAUCUGGCGCCAUCGCAAAAUCCCAAUUCACUUGGGUCCUUUAGAUUUGGAAAAUUCAGGUGAGCAUAUUCGCAGUGGAGGCUAGUCGGCGCGAUCGUAAGCAUAGGCAGCAACCUCGGCGGAGUCGUAAGUUCCCAACCAAACUCUCAUUCUAUUCUGUGGAAGUCUAAUUUCAGCCACCCAUUUGCUCCAAUGCCUCUGUCGGGCUCCUCUAUACAGCUUUUUCUUGCUUAGGCUAAAAUAAUUUUGUGGAUAAACUGGUUCUUGAGGUGGGUUUGGGAGCGAAAUUUUGGCAAAUGAAGUGUUUGGUUUAUUAACAUGGCAGAAUUUUUGGAACAAGUCCCUUUGUCUUAGGUAUACUGAAGAGCCUAAUGGCUGGAAAACAUGGAUGACAUCAAAGUUUGAUGAUUGUUGGCAAUGGGAAAAAAUUGAAUCCAAGGUGUUGGAAUUACUAAUUAAAAUGAGUUGUGAAAGUGAGAAUCCAACAUUUUCAGACACAAAUUAGGUGACGUUUUCUUGGAUUUUAGCCAUUUUUUAUGUAUGGUUUAGAUUUUGAACGUUCAAAAAACA